RNAcentral lists this unclassified non-coding RNA (350 nucleotides) under uncultured fungus. RNAcentral's name for it is "partial contains small subunit ribosomal RNA, internal transcribed spacer 1, and 5.8S ribosomal RNA". The stretch from base 1 to 73 matches the Rfam family "Eukaryotic small subunit ribosomal RNA", at positions 1759 to 1831 of the family's 1831-position model. The record is from RNAcentral. Lineage: Eukaryota; Fungi.
ACAAACUUGGUCAUUUAGAGGAAGUAAAAGUCGUAACAAGGUUUCCGUAGGUGAACCUGCGGAAGGAUCAUUAUUGAAUUUUUAAAUGAAUGGGGUUGUUGCUGGUCCCUGAGAGGGGGCAUGUGCACGCUUCAUUUCAUCCAAACCCUUACACCUCUGUGCACUUCUCAUAGGUUGGAAUGGUUUCAUGAACCUGCUCUUGAAUUGGGAGCGGCAAAGUGGACUCUGGCCUGUGUGCUUUUGCAAUACACCUCUUUGUCAUAGAAUGUCAAUAUCAUGCAUGAAUGCAUAUUACAAGUAUAACUUUCAGCAACGGAUCUCUUGGCUCUCGCAUCGAUGAAGAACGCAGC